RNAcentral lists this ribosomal RNA (444 nucleotides) under uncultured marine bacterium. RNAcentral describes it as "bacterial SSU rRNA". It matches the Rfam family "Bacterial small subunit ribosomal RNA", at positions 360 to 804 of the family's 1533-position model. The record is from RNAcentral.
AAUAUUGGCAAUGGGGCGAGCCUGAUCCAGCAAUGUCGCGUUGGGAAGGAGGCCGGAGGGUUGUAAAGCACUUUCAAUUGUGAGGAAGAGUUCGCAUAUAAUAGAUGUGAGCUUUGACGUUAACUUAGAAGAAGCACCGGCUAACUCCGUCCAGCAGCCGCGGUAAUACGGAGGGGCAAGCGUUAAUCGGAAUUACUGGGCGUAAAGCGCGCGUAGGCGGUUAAUUAAGUCAGAUGUGAAAUCCCCGGGCUCAACCUGGGAAGGCCUCUGAUACUGGUUAACUAGAGUUGGAAGAGGGGAGUAGAAUUUCAGGUGUAGCGGUGAAAUGCAUAGAGAUCUGAAGGAAUACCAGUGGCGAAGGCGACUCCCUGGUCCAGAACUGACGCUGAGGUGCGAAAGCGUGGGUAGCAAACGGGAUUAGAUACCCCGGUAGUCCACGCUGUA